RNAcentral lists this long non-coding RNA (299 nucleotides) under Daucus carota (carrot). Its description in RNAcentral is "long non-coding RNA (DCAR_LNC006571)". Lineage: Eukaryota; Viridiplantae; Streptophyta; Magnoliopsida; Apiales; Apiaceae. The record is from RNAcentral.
AGCACCCCUGCAUAAGUCUGGUGUUAUUAAGUUUGUGAUUCCGUUAAAUGAUCAAGAAUGGUUGCGCGUUGUCUAGUACGUACAUUUUGAGUUCUCUGCAUAUAUAUAGUGCAGAGGGUUGGUGCAAAAGACAUUUGGGUAUGGAUUGGUUUGAUCAUUAGUAGAGAUUUUAUGCCACUGUCAUUUAAAACAAUUUCUAGUCCACCAUCCUCAGCUGUUCUUAGCCUCCCAGCUAGCAUUGGCUUCUCCGAUAAUGCAAUUUCCAUCGAUGUCUUGGCCCAACCAGCUACUAUCCAACC